GGCAAGAAGGUUGUGCUUUACUUAUGCUUGUGUUAUUUGCUGUUGGUUGUUCGUUUGGUAUAUGAAAAUUUCCUUGAAAUUGAGAACAAGGUGCCUUUGAUGUGCCUGGUCAUAUUGAGAACUGUCUAGCUUUACUGUUCUAGGUCCCAAUUUUUAUUUGCGGAGAUUGCCAUGCAUGUAUAGGACAGCGAAUACUGCUGUCUCCUGUUUAAGGAAUCUUGCAGUGCUGAUAGGUUUUCCCCCCAUCAAUUGUCAGUUAAAAACUUUACUUUCUGAUGACAUUGUCUCCAAGCAUUUCAUGUUAAUAACUUGCAGGUGAAUAUCUGCCUGUGGCUUUACUUCUUUCACAAGCUGAUCUCAAGUAAUGUUCUGGUUUGUAACUUUCAGUGCUGGAUUUAUGCCAAAAGCAUAAGGUUUAUCCAUUCUUCAGAGGACAACUCAG
Molecule: unclassified non-coding RNA, 442 nt
Filed under: Hevea brasiliensis (rubber tree)
Lineage: Eukaryota; Viridiplantae; Streptophyta; Magnoliopsida; Malpighiales; Euphorbiaceae
Source: RNAcentral